Molecule: non-coding RNA, 107 nt
Organism: Apiosordaria backusii
Lineage: Eukaryota; Fungi; Ascomycota; Sordariomycetes; Sordariales; Lasiosphaeriaceae
Source: the annotation of a GenBank genome assembly
GCCCGAUUAGCUCAGCUGGUUAGAGCGUCGUACUAAUAUUACUCUCUACUCUUGAAGUAAUAUCAAGUUCCAUGCGAAGGUCAACAGUUCAAUCCUGUUAUUGGGCA